RNAcentral lists this ribosomal RNA (116 nucleotides) under Escherichia coli H223. The record is from RNAcentral. Lineage: Bacteria; Pseudomonadati; Pseudomonadota; Gammaproteobacteria; Enterobacterales; Enterobacteriaceae.
UGGCGGCAGUAGCGCGGUGGUCCCACCUGACCCCAUGCCGAACUCAGAAGUGAAACGCCGUAGCGCCGAUGGUAGUGUGGGGGUCUCCCCAUGUGAGAGUAGGGAACUGCCAGACA